This 522-nucleotide ribosomal RNA is filed under the name Candida sp. enrichment culture clone MM 4034. Its description in RNAcentral is "eukaryotic LSU rRNA". It matches the Rfam family "Eukaryotic large subunit ribosomal RNA", at positions 71 to 593 of the family's 3401-position model. Lineage: Eukaryota; Fungi; Ascomycota; Saccharomycetes; Saccharomycetales. The record is from RNAcentral.
GGGAUUGCCUCAGUAACGGCGAGUGAAGCGGCAAAAGCUCAAAUUUGAAAUCUGGUACCUUUGGUGCCCGAGUUGUAAUUUGAAGAUAGUUUUCUGGUGCUGGCCCUUGUCUAUGUUCCUUGGAACAGGACGUCACAGAGGGUGAGAAUCCCGUCUGGCGGGGUGUCCAGUGCUUUGUAGAUUUCUAUCGACGAGUCGAGUUGUUUGGGAAUGCAGCUCUAAGUGGGUGGUAAAUUCCAUCUAAAGCUAAAUAUUGGCGAGAGACCGAUAGCGAACAAGUACAGUGAUGGAAAGAUGAAAAAGAACUUUUAAAAGAGAGUGAAAAAGUACGUGAAAUUGUUGAAAGGGAAGGGUAUUAGAUCAGACUUGGUGUUUUGUGAUUAUCUUCCCUUCUUGGGUUGUGCACUCGCAUUUCACUGGGCCAGCAUCGGUUCGGGUGGUAAGAUAAUGACAUUGGAACGUGGCACUACCUUCGGGUGGUGUGUUAUAGCCCUUGUUGAUGUUGCCUACCUGGACCGAGGA